RNAcentral lists this ribosomal RNA (498 nucleotides) under uncultured Gammaproteobacteria bacterium. RNAcentral describes it as "bacterial SSU rRNA". It matches the Rfam family "Bacterial small subunit ribosomal RNA", at positions 9 to 523 of the family's 1533-position model. Lineage: Bacteria; Pseudomonadati; Pseudomonadota; Gammaproteobacteria. The record is from RNAcentral.
GAGUUUGAUCAUGGCUCAGAUUGAACGCUGGCGGCAGGCCUAACACAUGCAAGUCGAGCGGAAACGAUGGAAGCUUGCUUCCAGGCGUCGAGCGGCGGACGGGUGAGUAAUGCAUAGGAAUCUGCCCGAUAGUGGGGGAUAACCUGGGGAAACCCAGGCUAAUACCGCAUACGUCCUACGGGAGAAAGCAGGGGAUCUUCGGACCUUGCGCUAUCGGAUGAGCCUAUGUCGGAUUAGCUAGUUGGUAGGGUAACGGCCUACCAAGGCAACGAUCAGUAGCCGACCUGAGAGGGUGAUCGGCCACACUGGAACUGAGACACGGUCCAGACUCCUACGGGAGGCAGCAGUGGGGAAUAUUGCACAAUGGGCGAAAGCCUGAUGCAGCAACGCCGCGUGAGCGAUGAAGGCCUUCGGGUCGUAAAGCUCUGUCCUAUGGGAAGAUAAUGACGGUACCAUAGGAGGAAGCCCCGGCUAACUACGUGCCAGCAGCCGCGGUAA